UGGGGAAUCUUGGACAAUGGGCGAAAGCCUGAUCCAGCAAUGCCGCGUGCAGGAAGAAGGCCUUCGGGUUGUAAACUGCUUUUGUACGGAACGAAAAGGCUCUUUCUAAUAAAGAGGGCCCAUGACGGUACCGUAAGAAUAAGCACCGGCUAACUACGUGCCAGCAGCCGCGGUAAUACGUAGGGUGCGAGCGUUAAUCGGAAUUACUGGGCGUAAAGCGUGCGCAGGCGGUUCUAUAAGACAGAUGUGAAAUCCCCGGGCUCAACCUGGGAAUGGCAUUUGUGACUGUAGAGCUAGAGUACGGUAGAGGGGGAUGGAAUUCCGCGUGUAGCAGUGAAAUGCGUAGAUAUGCGGAGGAACACCGAUGGCGAAGGCAAUCCCCUGGACCUGUACUGACGCUCAUGCACGAAAGCGUGGGGAGCAAACAGGAUUAGAUACCCAAGUAGUCCCUGAGCGGGCUGGCAAGGCGCAU
This 472-nucleotide ribosomal RNA is filed under the name uncultured bacterium. Its description in RNAcentral is "bacterial SSU rRNA". It matches the Rfam family "Bacterial small subunit ribosomal RNA", at positions 355 to 825 of the family's 1533-position model. The record is from RNAcentral.